Molecule: long non-coding RNA, 1039 nt
Filed under: Ursus maritimus (polar bear)
Lineage: Eukaryota; Metazoa; Chordata; Mammalia; Carnivora; Ursidae
Description: lncRNA (ENSUMAG00000004741.1)
Source: RNAcentral
GCCAGACAGCUGGGCUCCAGAGGCCGCGAGCAGUGUGCUCUCGGGGAGCAGCUUGUCAGAGGGGCAGAUCACUCCGUGGAAACCCAUUGCCCUGUUCAGAUUUGUCCAGGCUCGCAUUAGACACAGUUUGUGGAGGCUUCACGCUCUAGGAGGGAAGAAUGCUAGUGAGUCAAUGAAUUGAACCUCUUAUCCUUGCUUUCCAUUGCUUGGUUGUCCCACACACCCAGUUUCAGGCAGGGUCGUCAAGCUAAGGGCAGCCACGCCUCCUUGCCGUUCCUUGGGGGCACCAGUGGGAGUGCUGGGAACCCCACCACCCUGCAGGAGGGAAGCGGCAGGAGAGGACGGGCGCAGAGUCACAUGUCCUGAAGGAUGAAGGAUUUGCUCGCAAUCCCAUCUUGUGUGAUAAAUUUCAUCAACAGUGUCCAUUCCUUUCUGAAUCGACGUGCAUGAGGCAACUCGGGGCUUUAUCCACUCCCUGUGCAUGCGUAGCCCACUUCUGUUUUUGGACCCACUUGCUCAAUUUCCAGUCUGGGCGAUUAGCUUCCAGUUACUCUUCAUGUCAGAAGAGAAAAAUAAGUUUUACUGAAUCGGUGGUUCCAGGUUGAAUUGAAGAACUGCGGAGCCGGGGUUAGCGCUCCGGACGGGCUUGGUUUUAAAGGCUUUGAACAGUGCUACACACGAGCCAAGUGGCACCCUGUCCCCCUCGCUCCUGCCUACCCUGCCUAAAAUUCACGACACAGGGUGAAGCAACUAAAGCUGAAAAUGGGCAAUUUAGCUGAAAAGCUAAAUCAAUGCUUCGGUUUUCAAAUGUAAGCUCCGACUCAGGCUCUGUCUGCCGCCUGGGCUCGCCCAGCCCGCCUGCCUCUCAGGGGGAAACUCAAACUGAACGCACGUUGCAGAAACAAGAGAAUAGAAAAAAAUUCUCUUCCCUCCAAUUCCUUCUCCAGAGACCAGUGUAAAAUGCAUCCCCAGUCCAACACAAAUCUGCCUUUUAAUAACCACGUAAGCCUAGCUUUCAAUAAAAAUUAUUCCAAGUUUG